UACGUAGGGUGCAAGCGUUAAUCGGAAUUACUGGGCGUAAAGCGUGCGCAGGCGGUUGUGCAAGACAGAUGUGAAAUCCCCGGGCUCAACCUGGGAACUGCAUUUGUGACUGCACAGCUUGAGUGCGGCAGAGGGGGAUGGAAUUCCGCGUGUAGCAGUGAAAUGCGUAGAUAUGCGGAGGAACACCGAUGGCGAAGGCAAUCCCCUGGGCCUGUACUGACGCUCAUGCACGAAAGCGUGGGGAGCAAACAGG
Molecule: ribosomal RNA, 253 nt
Filed under: uncultured bacterium
Lineage: Bacteria
Description: partial 16S ribosomal RNA
Rfam family: Bacterial small subunit ribosomal RNA
Source: RNAcentral